This 45-nucleotide non-coding RNA is filed under the name Schistosoma curassoni. Lineage: Eukaryota; Metazoa; Platyhelminthes; Trematoda; Strigeidida; Schistosomatidae. The record is from RNAcentral.
AUGUAGCUGAUGAGUCCUAAAUAGGAGGAAACACUCAUCCUGCAU